Acanthosepion pharaonis is the source of this 111-nucleotide non-coding RNA. NCBI's taxonomy places the organism in Eukaryota, Metazoa, Mollusca, Cephalopoda, Sepiida, Sepiidae. The record is from the annotation of a GenBank genome assembly.
UACGGCUAUAUCACGUUGAAACUCCGGGUUCUGUAUGAUCACCGUAGUUAAACAACGUCGAACCUGGCCAUUACCGAGAUGGGUGACCGCUUGUGAAUGCCAUGUGCUAUA